RNAcentral lists this ribosomal RNA (256 nucleotides) under uncultured bacterium. Its description in RNAcentral is "partial 16S ribosomal RNA". It matches the Rfam family "Bacterial small subunit ribosomal RNA", at positions 524 to 776 of the family's 1533-position model. The record is from RNAcentral.
UACGUAGGGUGCAAGCAUUAAUCGGAAUUAUUGGGCGUAAAGGGCGCGUAGGCGGGGCGAUAAGUCAGAUGUGAAAUUCCAAAGCUCAACUUUGGAGCUGCAUUUGAAACUGUCACUCUAUAGAGGGAUGACGGAGAUUAGCGGAAUUCCACGUGUAGCGGUGAAAUGCGUAGAUAUGUGGAAGAACACCAGUGGCGAAAGCGGCUUUCUAGUUAUAACCUGACGCUGAGGCGCGAGAGCAAGGGGAGCAAACAGG